UAAAGCCUUUACUCUGGAUUAACAGGAGAGCUUCAACAUCCUGACUCUUUUCCUUCAGCUGCCAGCUCCAUCUCUUGCAAUGACGAGGUGGAACAUUCCGAUCCGCACGCUUCCCUGAGACGCAGGCGCUUCAUUCUCAGCUGUUUGAGCCCUCAGCUCACCAAAAGGUCAAUGACUUGACCCAUUGUGCAUCACCACCAUCGAGCAGGCUAUUAAUGGAGACUUGGGGGGGGUCUGUUUGCUUGAUUUACUUUGACAAGUGUCCAACUGGGUAUCCCAUGAUGCUUUUGCUCCUUUGAUUGAGUUACUUGUCAUUUCUUUGGUAUCCUUGCUUGGACCAGCUGUGUGAUGGAGGCAGAGAGCACAGUGUGUUUUCACUGCCCCACACAAACACUGUGAUCCUGCAGGAGACCUACAGUAACACACACUGCAGAGAUGAAGGAGAUGCCCUUCCGGCCGCAACCCAUCUC
Non-coding RNA from Danio rerio (zebrafish), 470 nucleotides. The record is from RefSeq and is a predicted model, not a curated record. NCBI's taxonomy places the organism in Eukaryota, Metazoa, Chordata, Actinopteri, Cypriniformes, Danionidae.